RNAcentral lists this ribosomal RNA (347 nucleotides) under Arge gracilicornis. RNAcentral describes it as "partial large subunit ribosomal RNA". The record is from RNAcentral. Lineage: Eukaryota; Metazoa; Arthropoda; Insecta; Hymenoptera; Argidae.
AUAAUAAUUAGUCUUUUUAAUGAAGGCUGGAAUGAAUGAUUGGACGAGGUAAUUCUGUCUCAUUUAAAUUAAAAUUUAAAUUUAAUUUUUAAGUUAAAAAGCUUAAAUAUAAUUAAAGGACGAGAAGACCCUAUAGAGCUUUAUAAUUUUUAAUUAUUAAAUUUUAAUUUUUUUUUAUUAAUUUUAUAAUUAUUUUGUUGGGGUGACAGGAAAAUUUAAUUAACUUUUUUAAUUUUAUUACAUAUAUUUAUGAAUUUUUGAUCUUAAUUUUUAGAUUAUUAGAUUAAGUUACCUUAGGGAUAACAGCGUUAUUUUUUUUUAGAGUUCAUAUUAAUAAAAAAGAUUGC